RNAcentral lists this ribosomal RNA (372 nucleotides) under uncultured eukaryote. Its description in RNAcentral is "partial 18S ribosomal RNA". It matches the Rfam family "Eukaryotic small subunit ribosomal RNA", at positions 592 to 976 of the family's 1831-position model. The record is from RNAcentral.
CAAUAGCGUAUAUUAAAGUUGUUGCAGUUAAAAAGCUCGUAGUUGAAUUUUUGCUUGCCGCCGAUGUCGGAACUUCCGUACGUUCGGCGGCGUGCAUCCUUGGGUGGAACCUGUGUGGCAUUAGGUUGUCGUGCAGGGGAUGCUCAUCGUUUACUGUGAAAAAAUUAGAGUGUUCAAAGCAGGCUUUCGCUUGAAUACAUUAGCAUGGAAUAAUAGAAUAGGACUUUGGUUCUAUUUUGUUGGUUUCUAGGACCGAAGUAAUGAUUAAUAGGGAUAGUUGGGGGCAUUAGUAUUUAAUUGUCAGAGGUGAAAUUCUUGGAUUUAUGAAAGACUAACAUCUGCGAAAGCAUUUGCCAAGGAUGUUUUCAUUGA